Molecule: ribosomal RNA, 110 nt
Filed under: Sus scrofa (pig)
Lineage: Eukaryota; Metazoa; Chordata; Mammalia; Artiodactyla; Suidae
Source: RNAcentral
UCCACAGACCACGCCACCCAGAACGCGCCCAUCUCGUCUGAUCGGGGCAGCUAAGUGGGGUCAGGCCUGGUGGGUACUUGGAAGGGAGCAUACACCACAGGUAGUCUGAC